RNAcentral lists this ribosomal RNA (550 nucleotides) under uncultured bacterium. RNAcentral describes it as "bacterial SSU rRNA". It matches the Rfam family "Archaeal small subunit ribosomal RNA", at positions 725 to 1274 of the family's 1478-position model. The record is from RNAcentral.
AGGAAAUAGAUACCCUGGUAGUCCCAGCCGUAAACGAUGCUCGCUAGGUGUCAGACAUGGCGCGACCGUGUCUGGUGCCGCAGGGAAGCCGUGAAGCGAGCCACCUGGGAAGUACGGCCGCAAGGCUGAAACUUAAAGGAAUUGGCGGGGGAGCACAACAACGGGUGGAGCCUGCGGUUUAAUUGGACUCAACGCCGGACAACUCACCGGGGACGACAGCAAAAUGUAGGCCAGGCUGAAGACCUUGCCUGAAUCGCUGAGAGGAGGUGCAUGGCCGUCGCCAGUUCGUACUGUGAAGCAUCCUGUUAAGUCAGGCAACGAGCGAGACCCGUGCCCACUGUUACCAGCAUAUCCUCCGGGAUGAUGGGUACUCUGUGGGGACCGCCGGUGUUAAAUCGGAGGAAGGUGCGGGCCACGGUAGGUCAGUAUGCCCCGAAUUUCCCGGGCUACACGCGGGCUACAAUGAAUGGGACAAUGGGUCCCUACCCCGAAAGGGUUGGUAAUCUCACAAACCCAUCCGUAGUUCGGAUCGAGGGCUGUAACUCGCCCU